UAACUAUCUGAAAACCAACUGGAUUAUUCAAACUACCCGAACCCGCAUGCCUUAUUGAAAUUAAAAAUGAUUGAAGAUUAACUGAAGAGAGCAAAACGGCUGUUUCUUAUAGCAAACGUGUUCCUUAACAGAUUCACAAAUAAGAUGGCAUCAAUAACACAACAACCUCUUGUCAUCUAAGUGACAUCCAGUUUUUCAGGAUGUCAAUUAUUAUUCCUGUUCUUGAUUGGAACGGGAACUCGAGGAACCAGAUUUAGGAACACUAUGUGUAAUCUGACGGUAUGAGGAAAGGGUCAACUUCAUUGUCCUUGUACCUGUUACUGUCGCUGUCACUUAACUGGCCACUACCACGAGUACCUUUAAUCCAAUGAUCCACGACACCUAUGAUGCUGAUGGAUGACUUUGCAUCGUGAAAAACAUAUCUAAACUAAAAACAAAAAAAGGAACAUUUUGGGUUUCACAAAUUUUAAAAACUGUAGAUGAUCAAGUAGCUAGCACAUCUACAAAGUUCAUACAAACCAAGAAAUAAAAACAUCAGCAUAGUGGAUUGCAUUACAAGCGAUGAGAUUAGACGAUUCUUAACAAACAAGCUCCAAAGCUACAUCAUUAUCUCAGAUCAAAAUGCUAUCUGUCUGGAUCCUUGCGUUACAGCUUACCAGUAUUCUAGGCUAGGCACUGAUGAUUUAUCUUCUUCCGCAAGUAUGAAAUACACAAAAAUCCUCAUACCCCAUCGUCCCUUCAACUUUGCUUGUGAACUUCCUAGUAACCUGAGUAGCAAACCAAUGUAUUAUCAGUAAAGAGAACAAAUAACUGCGAACAAUAAAAGAACAUAAAAUUAAAUAAAUCUUAAAUACAUUUAUUUGGAUACUAAAAUUCAGUCAUAAUAUUAGUUUUGAGUGUGAAGUUGAUUUUUUCAAGAAUUUUGUUAAUUGAAUUUCUUUCAUGAAUUUUUUUUAAAUCAGAUUCAAAUUAUAUUUGAUAUUUGAAAUAUCAUUUAAUAAAACUUGUUUGGGUUUUUUACAAUUUAGAACGAGUACAAAUUCGAGAUUUUGGCUAUGGUUUGAUUUGAACCUCGGUUCAAUUAGCAAUGUCAAACAGAAUAUUUAAGUGUGAAUAUUAAAUCUAAGAAAAUCAAUUAAAUUUGAAGAAAUUAAUUUUUUAAUUAAUUUUGAUGUUAUUUGGUUAUAAUUUUCAGUAGUUUUUUAAUUGUAUUAUUGGAUUAGGCAUUUGUAAUCACUUUUGUAAAAUACUUAAAAUUAUAAUGUUAUUAAAUUUAGUAAUUUUUAGUUUUAUUAAAUAUUAGUGUUAUUCUAAUUUUGGUGUAUUUUGUGAUGAUAAAAAUUUAAUGGAACUCUACUACAAACAUGCAAAAACCCAAUAAUGUUUUAAGAUUAAUAUUUAAAUGAUUUGUAUAUCAUUUAUAUAAAAAUAUAUUAAAUCUUAUUAUUGAUCACUAUGAUACAAUCGAUUUUAUAAUAGAUGUACCUGUUUUAAAAUUUAUUUUUAAGAUAUUCAUAAACAAAUUAUAAGAAUAAUUUUUAUUAUUUUGUAUCUAAAUUUAGUGCUCUAUAUUUUAUCUUGGUUUUUAUUAGCUAAUAUCAUAUAAAAUUAGCUAAUUUUUUUUUUGUUAGUCGAAAAUUUAUUCUAUUUUUUAAAUGAUUUUUAAUAAGAUAUAAAAUAAUACUUAUCAGCCUUUUUCAUAUACAAAGAAUUAAAAUGUUCAUAAAAGAAAUUUAUUUUUCUUAAAUGUGUUUAUAUUUUUUUAAAGGAAAAUCUAAAACGUAAGAAAAAACAAAUGCAUUAAAACCAGCAUACAAAAAUGUAGUUUUCUCAUUAUUAUUUGUUAAACUAAAUUAUUUCAUAAUCAAUAAAAAUUUUGAAUUGUUUUGGAGGAUAUAUUAGUCCAUUGCCAAAAUUAAAAAAAUUAAAAAUACAGAGACGCAGUAAUCGAAGAUCGGACGAGAAAGAUUAACAAAACGAGUGGCGUUGCUCUCCUCUGUUCAUCAUCUUCCUCCUUGGCUCGUCUCCUUGUCAAUAUAUAACAACACACAGAGUUCCUCUCCGUCCUUCCCACAAAGUACUCACCUUUAUCUCCCCCUCUCUGCAUUAUCCCUUCUUCACCGUCUCGAAGCUUUCUCAGAAUGGCGUCAACCACCAAUGGAAGUACUGACUAUGGUGCCUACACAUACAAGGACCUCUCUCGAGAGCUUUACUGGCCUUCUCACAAGCUCAAGAUAUCAAUCACAGGAGCCGGAGGUUUCAUAGCCUCCCACAUCGCUCGCCGUCUAAAGCACGAGGGCCAUUACGUCAUUGCAUCCGACUGGAAGAAGAAUGAGCACAUGACUGAAGACAUGUUCUGCGACGAGUUCCACCUCGUUGAUCUCAGGGUCAUGGAGAAUUGCCUCAAGGUUACUGAUGGUGUUGAUCACGUCUUUAACUUGGCUGCUGAUAUGGGCGGUAUGGGUUUCAUCCAGUCCAACCACUCUGUUAUCAUGUAUAACAAUACUAUGAUCAGCUUUAAUAUGAUCGAGGCUGCUAGGAUCAAUGGGAUUAAGAGGUUCUUUUAUGCUUCUAGUGCAUGUAUCUAUCCAGAGUUCAAGCAGCUGGAAACUAGUAAUGUGAGCCUCAAGGAGUCAGAUGCUUGGCCUGCAGAGCCACAAGAUGCUUAUGGUUUGGAGAAACUAGCAACGGAGGAGCUGUGCAAGCAUUACAACAAAGAUUUUGGGAUUGAGUGCCGCAUUGGAAGGUUCCAUAACAUUUACGGUCCUUUCGGAACAUGGAAAGGUGGAAGAGAGAAGGCACCAGCUGCUUUCUGUAGAAAGGCUCUCACCUCCACAGAUAGGUUUGAGAUGUGGGGAGAUGGGCUUCAAACUCGCUCUUUUACCUUCAUUGAUGAGUGUGUUGAAGGUGUACUAAGGUUGACAAAAUCAGAUUUCCGUGAGCCGGUGAACAUAGGAAGCGAUGAGAUGGUGAGUAUGAACGAGAUGGCUGAGAUGGUUCUGAGCUUUGAGGAAAAGAAGCUACGGAUUCACCACAUUCCAGGACCAGAAGGUGUUCGUGGCCGUAACUCAGACAACAAGCUGAUCAAAGAGAAGCUUGGCUGGGCUCCAACAAUGAGACUGAAGGAGGGGCUUAGAAUAACUUACUUCUGGAUAAAGGAACAGAUUGAGAAAGAGAAAGCUAAAGGCAGUGAUGUGUCGCUUUAUGGGUCUUCAAAAGUGGUUGGGACUCAAGCACCGGUUCAGCUUGGUUCACUCCGAGCUGCUGAUGGAAAAGAGUAAAUGGAUGAUUAGGCUCAAAGUAUGGCCUUUCUUAAUAUUAUAAUUAAUGUCAGGGAAGUGUUUAAUAUAUACCUCUUAAGUAAGUUUCUUAAGCAAUAAUAAUUGUUUUGGAUUUGAGUGUCCUCUUCUGCUGCUGAUCUUUCUUGUUCAAUUAUUAUUUUUUGGUUGGAAAAGCUUUUUCUGUUAAACUAGAUUAUACUAUGUAUUAAGUAUAAUAUUAUUGUGGACCUGAGACAAUAUCUUCACUAUUAUCGUCAACUUGAUGUUGUUGAACCAGGAAUCAAGUGGCUGAGUUCUGAUAUUUUUCUGUCAACUUGACUUUUCCGUCUAUCAUCGUUGAUAAAAUUUUAAAUAUCCCACACUGAUUAAGAGUAAGAUUAACUACGAAAAGUCACAUGGCACUCUCCUUUUCAAACUAGGAAAACUAGCUUAUGGCAUGCUCUUUCUGGAAGGUGUAUUCGGAUUUGAUUACAUGUUAUUCUGACAUAACUUCGUAUAUACAUCAAAAGAUUUCAAAAGUUACAAAGCAGCAAGCACCUUCUUUCCGUUAAACUAUUUAUCAUCCAUAUUCAACAAUAAUUUCAAUCAGACCAAAUGGCAGAGAAAAAGUGGGGGUGUGGUGGGUUCGAGCAGCUGCUCAAAGACCGUUUUGGAACGUGUCUAUUUUGCUGCCACUUUUGUCAGCGGAAGGCUGGCUCUCUCCCUAAUUCAACGGUGCUGCCAUUACACCCCUGAUAUAAUGGGCUAUGAAAGUCCUUAUGAGCCUCAUAACUCAUAUUUGAAAAGCCCAUUAAAAAAUUAAAUGGAUACUUCUACAUGAACAAAAGAUGUAAACUCGGUCCAUCACUAGCAUGAUCAUCUACGUUAGGAUGUACAAUUACAUUCCAAUUGCCUGGUUACUUUUUUUUACUCUCUCCACUCUUUCCAUUAUCUUGUAAGAUGCUUACCAAUAGAACUCGUAAUUUAGAUACAUUAAUACUGUUUGUUGUUUAAUGUUUAUAAAUCUAUCUAGAUAUUACUUUCAAAAUCAUUACACAGAAAUAAUGUAUUAUAUUCAAAUUAUUAACGAAUAUUCAAACUAUAGUAUCUACAAGACAACUUGCAAAACCAUAUCCACACCAAACUAUGAAUACCUGAAAAGUCCAAACAUUGUGGACCAAGAAGAUAUUGCUCGUGUAAAAGCAUGCACAAAGACUUCAUGUGGUUCUAAAGGAGGGAAACCUAUUAGGUCCCAUGAAGUCUUGUUGCUUGAAAAGUGGUGCCUACCUAUUAU
Brassica rapa (field mustard) is the source of this 4554-nucleotide RNA transcript. It is a transcript of the gene named GDP-mannose 3,5-epimerase, with no coding region annotated. NCBI's taxonomy places the organism in Eukaryota, Viridiplantae, Streptophyta, Magnoliopsida, Brassicales, Brassicaceae. The record is from RefSeq and is a predicted model, not a curated record.